This 388-nucleotide ribosomal RNA is filed under the name uncultured bacterium. Its description in RNAcentral is "bacterial SSU rRNA". It matches the Rfam family "Bacterial small subunit ribosomal RNA", at positions 28 to 418 of the family's 1533-position model. The record is from RNAcentral.
GAUGAACGCUAGCGGCAGGCCUAACACAUGCAAGUCGAACGGCAGCACGGGAGCAAUCCUGGUGGCGAGUGGCGAACGGGUGAGUAAUAUAUCGGAACGUGCCCAGUCGUGGAGGAUAACGUAGCGAAAGCUACGCUAAUACCGCAUACGAUCUAUGGAUGAAAGCGGGGGAUCGCAAGACCUCGCGCGAUUGGAGCGGCCGAUAUCAGAUUAGGUAGUUGGUGAGGUAAAGGCUCACCAAGCCGACGAUCUGUAGCUGGUCUGAGAGGACGACCAGCCACACUGGGACUGAGACACGGCCCAGACUCCUACGGGAGGCAGCAGUGGGGAAUUUUGGACAAUGGGCGCAAGCCUGAUCCAGCAAUGCCGCGUGCAGGAUGAAGGCCUU